Molecule: non-coding RNA, 175 nt
Organism: Ceratotherium simum simum (southern white rhinoceros)
Lineage: Eukaryota; Metazoa; Chordata; Mammalia; Perissodactyla; Rhinocerotidae
Source: RefSeq, a predicted model, not a curated record
AAUCUGGAGAACAAAGGGGAGCUGCAUUUAUAGACAAAAAGGGGGAGAAGGGAUGGGCUGUUCUAAAGGAAAGUCCAUUGGCAGAAAGUAACAGUUCAGUGUGGCAACACUUCUCAUUGGCUGAGCUGUGGCAUUUCUCAUUGGCUGAGCUGUGGCAUUUCUCAUUGGCUGGGCU